This 473-nucleotide ribosomal RNA is filed under the name uncultured organism. RNAcentral describes it as "partial 16S ribosomal RNA". It matches the Rfam family "Bacterial small subunit ribosomal RNA", at positions 333 to 797 of the family's 1533-position model. The record is from RNAcentral.
ACACUCCUGCGGGAGGCAGCAGUGGGGAAUAUUGCACAAUGGGCGCAAGCCUGAUGCAGCCAUGCCGCGUGUGUGAAGAAGGCCUUCGGGUUGUAAAGCACUUUCAGCGGGGAGGAAGGCGAUACGGUUAACAACCGUGUUGAUUGACGUUACCCGCAGAAGAAGCACCGGCUAACUCCGUGCCAGCAGCCGCGGUAAUACGGAGGGUGCAAGCGUUAAUCGGAAUUACUGGGCGUAAAGCGCACGCAGGCGGUCUGUCAAGUCGGAUGUGAAAUCCCCGGGCUCAACCUGGGAACUGCAUUCGAAACUGGCAGGCUUGAGUCUUGUAGAGGGGGGUAGAAUUCCAGGUGUAGCGGUGAAAUGCGUAGAGAUCUGGAGGAAUACCGGUGGCGAAGGCGGCCCCCUGGACAAAGACUGACGCUCAGGUGCGAAAGCGUGGGGAGCGAACAGGAUUAGAAACCCGAGUAGUCCCA